Molecule: small nucleolar RNA, 124 nt
Filed under: Leptobrachium leishanense (Leishan spiny toad)
Lineage: Eukaryota; Metazoa; Chordata; Amphibia; Anura; Megophryidae
Description: Small nucleolar RNA SNORA14 (ENSLLEG00000023421.1)
Rfam family: Small nucleolar RNA SNORA14
About the family: ACA14 is a member of the H/ACA class of snoRNA that guide the sites of modification of uridines to pseudouridines.
Source: Rfam by way of RNAcentral
AUUUAUUCAUGCUAAUGGGCGUUGCAUGAAAAAUGCCACCCCACAGCAUGUAUAAUCCAUACGCUGCAGGUAAAUCAAAAAGGAAUCCCUGGUGACCUGCCUUUAUUUCAUUCCUGCAGCAUAU